Long non-coding RNA from Oenanthe melanoleuca, 6769 nucleotides. RefSeq lists it as uncharacterized. The transcript is spliced from 3 exons. Lineage: Eukaryota; Metazoa; Chordata; Aves; Passeriformes; Muscicapidae. The record is from RefSeq and is a predicted model, not a curated record.
AUCUGCAUCAGCAGAGCAGAUAAGCUCAGCCUCUCUUCAUCUGAAAAAGGAACAGAGGAGUAGCACUGGGAGACAGUGCAAUAUUUCAGGAUAUUGUGAAGAUUUCAGGCAACAAGACAACUUUCAGAUCCCACUUGGAUUUUUUGUCUAGCUGUAUCAGCCAUUGCAGCAAUCCAGCUAUGUCAGUGUGAUUUACCUCUUAAUCAGAGAUUUCAAAAUCAGUCUCCAUCUGCUGAAGAAUUCAAAGAUUUUGGAUUUGAGAACCUCUUUAUGAACAUCAAACUGUGGUCCAUUUCUCCCUGGAGUAUCGUGCAGCAGCAGCUCUUCAACACCAGGGGAAGUAUGAGCUAUCCACAGACACUCGUAAAAAACCAGGCACAUGCAGGCCACACAAGGUGCACAAGGCCAUCCAAGAGUCAUUAGCAGCUCCAGGGGAGGAGUUUUUUAUGCUCACUGUGGAACACUUGAGAAAAGGGAAAUUCAGAUGUGCACAGGGUGCAAGUUGUUUGGCCCAGCUCAGAUUUGUGCACCUCAUCAGUGUUGGUGAGGAUUGUGCUCAGCUGAUGCCACGUGAGGCUGUAGAGGAUUCCUUCUCAGAGAAUGGAUUUCCUCACUACUGUGUAAGCAGCUUCUGUUCCCACUCAGCCCUCAGUUCAGGAUUAAAGGGCAACUCAGGGCUCCACUUCAGUGGCUGAAGUUAAAGUAAGGCUAAAAUGGUCAAAGCCAUUUGCAGCAAUGAAAAGCAUAAUGAGGAAAAAUAAAGAGGUCUUCCACCACAUGCUGAGAAGAGAGGAAGUGCAGGAGAAAACAGACUAAAGUACAAGGUCCUGACUAUUCCUGGCACCAUAUGUUAGGCUCUUUGGGGAUUCUUCAGAGAGGUGAACUUCACUUGCACUGAGAUCAAUGAAAACCUGUGCAUUCAAUCUGUUUCUCAUAAAAAAAUAACUCAGAGUCUCUCCAGUGUGCAAGUCAGAACUGUCUGAAAGUCACAGGGAAAUGAAGAGCUGAAAGGCUAAGAGUUUUGUGCUUCUUUUUCUUUUUAUAUACUUUUUAUUCCCAGAGAUCCUAUGGGAAGCAUAGGACUUCAGCACAGGGACAGCCAAAAAGAUUCAGGGCUGUUAAAAUAGUAGCUUGUUUAAAUCCCAAGAUAAACUAGUUGUGCUAAAUUAAUCUAUGAACCCUCACAUCAGAUCUAGAGCCUCUGAGCAGUACAGAUAUUUUGAGAUGAUCUAAUUGUGGUUGGAGAGAAGGGAGAGUGUGGGCACAAGUAACACUGUGCUGUGUGCCACAGUGGGGUUAGCACACAGCACAGUGCAAAAAGCUGACAUGGGCAACACAGCCAGGACACCAGGGAGCAAAGACACCUAGGCAUUUCUGAAAAUUAAUUGCUGGAAUGAUCAGAUAGCAGAUUUGAAAUGCUUGCUAGGAAACUGAGGAAGAUGUGUGAAGAAAAAUGGUGAGCUUUAGGAAGUGUUGACAGGACUGGAAAGGGCAGGGAAGGGUACUGUUGCCAACUAAUAGAUUAAUAGAAAGGAAUUGUCUCUUGAGGGUGUUUUUCCAGCUCUUCAGCAGGAGUCAGAGACACCUGGAUGGCUUUGUUUUCUAAACUCAGGCAGGACAAGUUAAAAGCAGUGCCUCUCACCAAAGUGAAUUAAAGGACACAAGUACUGUCUGUUGGGAGGCAGGGGACAGGAUUUGACAGGUGAAGGCUGGCCAGGGAGCUGAAGGAGAUGAGCAUUUGAGGAACACCAGGAUUGUUCUGGACAACACUCUUUUGUGAGUCUGCUGCUGUCAGAUGCUGUGGGGUUGAGAGCACUUCAUCCAUCCCCACUCACUCCCAGCCUAACACAGCACCACAAAAUACCAGAAACCAUCCAGGUAUUGGCAAUAUAAUCACUCACACCAAACAAGAAGGCAGCAGAGAAGAAUUCUAAUGUACUGCUGGGAAAUGUGGAAUAUGUAGUAUAUUGCUAUAUCCAUCCUCAUUGGGUGGACGACAUUUAAACACUGAAAUGGAUGUUCUUCAGAAAUUGUGGACAACAGUUUUGUUUUUACCCCUCUGCACAAAUGGUGGAAAACAUUUUUUUUUUAAACUGCACUGCAGACAGAAAACAAAAUGAAUAAUGAUUUUGCAGUUUCUGACUCCUUCAAGAUGUGAUUGAUCAUUACAUUGUCACAGGUCAACCUCUGCCACAGAAAACUCCAGAUAAUCUUCAGCUGCAUUUCCUAAACCAUUAAUAGGAUAGACAAGGCUAAGAUAACAAUGCACAAUUUAUUUUCCAAAAGCAGCUGACAGGAGGAAAUGGAUACCAAAUGAAUUAACUCAUUAGAACAGUACGGCACAUUUGGAAACUCAAAACAGACUGCCUGGAAUGAUUUCAAUCUGCCACGAGGUUAAUGUCAGUCCCUUGCUUAGGCGUGUCAGUGUUGUAAACUAGUGAUCCUGUUUUAGAAAGGUUGAUGUGUGCACACCCUGGGACUUGUGCCUUAGGGUGGCCUGGACUUAAUUGAUUGCAUGACUUGAACGCUGUGUCCCUCACAGGUUGCAUAGUAUGUGCAAGGGUUACAUCCACAUGGACACACAAAAAACCACACAGACAUACCAACACUUUUUAAUAUAAACAAAAAAUAUUUGUUAGCUUGUUGAGAAUCAUCAUUAAAAAUAGCAGGUAUCUUACAGGCUGUAAAUACAUUCUGUUUUUAAGGAACUGUAUCUAUAUCCAGAGCAAAAACUUAGCAACUGUCUCAAGGGAGCAAAGUUUGUCUCAUGCCUGAUUUAUAACCAGCUGAGAAUUUCUCAGAAUUUGGGUUUUAACAUUUGUCAGCCACAAGUUGUCAAGCAAGCCUAUUUUCUCCUGGUAAGCUCCCACCUGUGUCUGUUUCAUAGUUACAGCAGUAUAUUUUUAGAAAAUUGUGGACUUUUAUUCAGCCUACUGGACUCCAUUACAGCACUGCUAAGGUAAUAUCUACAUUUAUAGCUGUCAUUAAUAUGGUAUUUAAGAGCUUUAGUUGCUUUUUCUCAUUCACAGGGUAAUAAGCCGUAAUUAAAGGAGUCAGGGGCUGUAUUACAGAAACAUUUCCCACCCCAUGUGUAGCACAAAGAUUACUUUGCAAAGAGACAACUGGGAGCCAAAGCAGUUCAGAGUAUUUCUUCAUAUAUUCAUAUCAAUAACACAAUGGCAAUUGUCAUUAAAAGAACAACAUUCUAAAACAGUAACUUGUUCAACCACUGUAUCUGAAAAUGGCUUAAAUUUGAUUAGUGUGUGCAGAUAAUGGGGACUAGACAACAGCAUAGAAAUGGUCCUGUUGAUUUAUAUCUGAAGAGUCCCUACACAUGAUUUACCAGCAGCAGCUGUAAAAAGCUCUUUGCUUUCCUUUCGGUGCAGAAAUCACUUAGAACAAGGGUCAUCCCAAAACAAAAGCAAUUCAAGCAGCCUAUCUAAGGAAGGAAGGAGGGAAGGAAGGAAGGAGACUUAUUUCAUCUUCUACACUGGGGAUCGUUUUUACAUCACCCCAGAUUAUGCAAUAUACCAUGGCAGGGACUGUGAAGCAUGAGUUCAUGGAGAAAGGGCACUUUCAUUAGUGCUGCUGCAGUGUCUGCUCUCAGAUGUCUGAGGUGGAAAGGUCACAGCCACAGACUUCACAGCACCACUAUCUGCCCUGUCUACACCCACCCCUGCUUAUCCAGAGCUGUGAGGAAGGGAGGUUAAAUGCUUUCAUAUGAGGUGUGUGUUUAUCCUGAUGGCAUACAAAGAAGAAUCCUGUUAAAUUAAGUAGCACCCUUCUUAAGAAUGGCAAUUACUGUGAAGCACAGAUUCAAGUAAGAUUCCCUGAAUUUGUGAUCUGAUUCAUUUGGCAGUGAUGUUUUACAAUGUGUAGUGUCAAACACUAUAUAAUGUCAAUGAUAAGAGAGCACAUGAGGAUUUAUGAUGUGUAAUGACGUGAAAUGUCUUUGGUGCUCCAACUCUGGCUCUUUUGUUUGCAUGUAAACCACAAACUGGUUUGGCAUAAGGCACAAGAUUUUUUCCCAUCUCAAAAAAAAAAGGGUCAGCUGUACUGGAAUGAGGUAAAAGUACAAAGGUAAGGGCAGGAUUACUUCAGAUCAGGGGAUUGCUUCAUAUGGUCACAACCCUUCUUUUCCUCAAGUAUCUAGAUUUAGUAUGAUUUUCCAAUAAUGUUCAGAGAAGUGUUGAAAGUACUGUAUAGGUCUUUGUCCUUUAAUUGAAUUACCCACAUACAUGUGCACACACACAAACACACACACACUCGACCCCUUCCAUUAUGCACCAAAAGGCUUUAGUGGCCCCAAGUCACAGCACUCCAGAAAUCAAACAUGUUGGUACUUUCUGGAAGCUGUGUUGCAAAUUCUUGCAGAACAGAUGUGUGAUUCCAAUUCAUGCAACCUUCCAGCUCUGUGAAUUGAGGGUCCUAAUCAGAUAUAGUUCUGUUCUUUUAUUUUGUCUGGCUUAAAACAUCUCUCUGAGGUCAACUUCAUCCAUGCAAUUGCCCCAAAGAGAAUUGCUAGAUUUAGCUGACAGAUGCAAAAAAUCUCAUGUUGUCACAGAACUCCCCAGUGUCUACUCAGCACCAGAUGUCAAAGAAUGCAAAUCUACAGCUGGGUCUGGUGUUCUUUUGUACUCCAAAUUCCCUCCCUCCCAGCUGUUGUUUUCCACUUCCAUGUACAUAGAGUUGAAUUUUCAGAAGCAGGAGAUAGACACUUAUGGCUUCCUAUAUUGAUAUGAAUAUACUUUUUUUUUUAAUUUACCUGGAAAACAUCUUUUUUUAGUUGAAUAAUGGUGUAUUUGUGAGGUUUGAGUAUGCUUACCUGUCACUAUUGAAAACAACCUUACUCAUCUUGUACAUGCAAUCUCUUCUCAGGAAGUUCUCUGGAACUGGAGUUGUCUUUCCAAGUAGCUAUUUAGAAGUGCAGAAUAGGAUUUUCUCCCUUGCUUAGGCCUCCUGGGCACCAUGGAAAUAAUAAGCAUGACCACAGUAAUACAAAACAAAAGACCUAUAGUCAUAAGGAAUUGCAGAGCAGUGUUUAUUCAGUUAUCUGGAGGUCCUUUGCUGGCUAUCCUUUGUGUCUCUCAGGAGAGGAAGUUCUAGCCUGGGACUACAAUGACUGGUUUUAAAUUUUGUUCUCUCUCAUGUAGAUAUUACCAACCUGCACAGCUUUUGAAAUAUUGUCAGAUAGUAAUACGUCUGCAAGAGCUGAGCUGACUUUUCCUUUUUUUGUUUUUUCCCCUACCUAAAUUGGGGGAAAAUUUGAAAUAACAGGUAAGGGUGACUACAGCAGUAUACAUUAGUUUUCCUGAGCUUCCUGUAAAUGAAUUCAGAGAUUCAGAAUUUCUAAGGUUCACCUGCAGUGACCUCUAGUGUAGUUUAGAUUUCCUUUUCUUAAAUGAAGAUAGCAUGCAUAUGGAGACUUUCUCUUUUUACUUACUUGUGUGAUGAUCUUCAGCUCACAGAGUUCUCUGUUGUACAGAUAUUAAUCACAAUCUAAGAAAUUAUUUGGUUUAUUAUACUUCUACUUUUCAGCCAGUCAAGAAACUUAGUUUUCAUCUAGGGCUAAGGACACAUUACUGUGUUUAAAAAGGAUGGGUUGUAAAUGAUGGGAAAGUAUGCAAAACACAGGUUCAAAUUUAAAUUAAAGGUCCAAAUUAUACAAUCACAUGUAAAUUCCUACUUUUUGAGGAAAGCCUAGCAAUGCACUUUACCAUUGCAACAUGCCUUAUAUCAGACUGCAGAAGUUUCACAGAACAUUCACCUUCCUGCACUGUUUUUAUUGUCUUCAGCUGGGUGACGAUAUUGUUGAUUUAACCCCCUGCUCCAAAUGCAAUUCACCAAGCUGCACUGUCUCCCCAAACUCACUGAGACCUGAGGUGGCAAACCCAUGCUAUGACCAGCAGUGCUGAAUUGAUUUCUCAUCCAGUACCUGCAAAGAGCAUAGACUCACCUCACUCCAGCGACAACACACUUCAAGUCACCAGCUGACCUGCAUGCAGCUACCCCAGCUCUUUCUACAUCCCUGCCACCCAGUGUUCCAAGAUCUGACCCAGGGGAAGGCAGAGCCAGCUCAGGUACCUGCAUCUGCCACGUGAAUGCUCAUAAAUCUUCACAUUGCCAGGAAGAUUGAAUCAAACAAACCUGACUAUGAAAUACUGAAAAGCUGACUCCUAAAGCUGCCUAUGCUAAGUUGCCUAAGCUAAGUUGCCUUGCCUGAGUCCUAUUACUGUUAUGAAAUGUUUUAACAUAACUUGAGUGAUAGUUAUCAAACACAGAAGUGGAACAGUCAUAGGGAGAGUCUCCAGGUAUUUCUGUAUUUAUUAAUCAUGCCUAUAAAACAGAGUAAUGGAAAUGAAAAUGCAAAGUGUUAACACCAUUUUGGGGAAGUCUAGAAGUGUUUAUAACUACUAUUAUUAUAUAUUUGUAUCCACAAUAUCCAUUUUUUGAAGUAGAUAAUAAUAUCAAUUUAGGAAAGCAGUGAUUUAAGAUAAAAGAAAAAGUGGUGUUUAAUGGAUUUACAUUAGGCAGUAGCAGAGCUAUCCACCUAUCAGAUAAGAGGAAAGGAGGGAGAAGAGUAUAAAUACUUUGUUUGAAGUGAUAUGACCCGGCACAAAUAGCCUCAGUGACAUUUUAAGAUCAAACAGUCCAAGACUCAGGUACAUAUACUUCAAAUCACAAGGGGAAGUUUUGGGAAGCUGAGCCUGAUCUGCCUAGCCCGAUCUGAGCUAGUGCUCAGAGUGACAAAAACUUUUAUUUAAUUCUG